GCACUGCACCGGAGGUGUGGUGAGUACUGCAGAAGCCGAGACACAAGAUCUACAGCUUCAGAUGGCAUUCUUUUAUGAAAACCUUGUGCCAUGGGUGAGCUUUGAUUUGGGGGAACUUAAACUCAGUGUAGUUCGGAUUCAUAUGUUUGAUUUCUUCCCUUGUUGGAGUACCCAAUGUUACCUUGAUAAUUUCAACAAGUUGGUCGACGCCACUGUCACCAGGAAAAACAGGCUAACCAACAGCAAAUAAUUCAGAGAAAACACAGCCAGCAGACCACACAUCAAUAGCUGUCGUGUACUCUGUAGCCCCAAAUAUGAGUUCUGGGGCUCUGUAGUAUCUAGAACAGAUAUAUGAAAUAUUUGGUUCCCCUUUCACCUAUGGACACGGCAAGACAAAUGAUAACCAGUUAACCACAGUACAUACCAAUAUAUUCUGUGGCUUUAUAUCUCUGUGGCAUACUCCCACACAGUUAUGAAUGCGCCUGCAACCUUACCUGGUACAUAUAAAGUUUAACAUAAAUCAAUGGCAUGCGUUGGCUCAUCUUAUUGUAAUGUCUAAUAACACGAUGAACAGUUUCUGGCACAUAUUCAAGAACCAAGUUGAGGUAUAGCUCCUCCUUCGCAGUAGUCGAGCAAAAGUAAUGCUUCAAGCAUGCAACAUUUGGGUGAUCGAGAACUUGCAUCGUUUGCAGCUCCCGGUUCUUGUAUCUCGCAUCUUGAAGAACUUUCUUUACAGCAACUCUCUCACCAGUUUCUAGACACUUAGCCUGUCAAAGA
This 777-nucleotide small RNA is filed under the name Oryza sativa Japonica Group (Japanese rice). RNAcentral describes it as "sRNA Os01g0296133". Lineage: Eukaryota; Viridiplantae; Streptophyta; Magnoliopsida; Poales; Poaceae. The record is from RNAcentral.